Molecule: transfer RNA, 73 nt
Filed under: Candidatus Woesearchaeota archaeon CG08_land_8_20_14_0_20_43_7
Lineage: Archaea; Nanobdellati; Candidatus Woesearchaeota
Description: tRNA-Thr
Rfam family: tRNA
About the family: Transfer RNA (tRNA) molecules are approximately 80 nucleotides in length.
Source: RNAcentral
GCGGGGGUUGCAGAGCCUGGUCAAUGGUAUCCCUUGGUUAGUGGGUCCGCGGGUUCAAAUCCCGUCCCCCGCA